GUGUUGGGUAUAAAAUAACUCGAGUCGAAGUUCGUAAGAGGCCAACCCUCCCAGGACUCUCCCGACUUUCGACCUUGUACGACUUCUUUCUGAACUCUCCUGACCGUCUGAGCUUCCACAAUACCAUCCGGACUCCUCCAGCAGUCGACCUUCCACAAUUUCCUCCAGAUUCCUCCAACGGACGAACACCUAUCGUGCCAUCCGGACUCCUCCAGCAGUCGACCUUCCACAGUAUCCUUCAGAUUCCUUUAAUGGACGAACUCUUAUCGUGCCAUCC
Molecule: long non-coding RNA, 277 nt
Filed under: Elaeis guineensis (African oil palm)
Lineage: Eukaryota; Viridiplantae; Streptophyta; Magnoliopsida; Arecales; Arecaceae
Description: long non-coding RNA (EGUI_LNC061041)
Source: RNAcentral